UUGAGUUCAGUUAAUUCCUAAUUGGAUUAGAAAUUUAUUGAGAAGAUUGUGUUCCUAAUUAGAUUAGGUUACUUCCUCUCAUUGGGUCCAAACCAAAUCUAAUUUGGAUUGGAAUCAAAUUUGAAACGGAGAGUCCUAGCUGGGACUCUCUCCCUUGCGCAUGCCCUAAGUCCCACGCCAUCUCUUUAACGCAAAAUAAGUUUUGCAUAAAAUUUUUUGGACAUAAGAAUGGAGGGCACAAGAGGGGUGGGCAGCACUCAUGAUGAGCCAUCGUCCUUAUUUCCUUUCUGAUUUAAAUUUGAUCUAAGUCCAAGAUAAGGAGAUAAAAAGGAAAAAGAUCGGAUUUCUUGAAAAGUUUUGGUGGUGCCAAAUAUUUUUUUCCUAUUUUCAUUGGGUUGUUGGUUUGCGUGAAAAAGAUCUAAUUUUUUUCUCACGCCAUCACACAAUUUUAAAAAUUUAGGAUGCCCCAUUCGGUGGUUGGCACAGAGAUAGUUGGCGCCUCCUCCAAACCCUAAACUCUAGCCCCAUUUAUUUAAAGGGGGUCCAAUAGUUGGAUGCCACAUAUGAGAAAUAGUUGAAAAUUGGUUUCUUCUGCAUAGCUCUCUUCUCUUCCUUCAUUAAUUCUUCUCUCUCUCUAGAGUGUCUAAGAGAUCAAGAGAAGAAGAAGAAAAUUAGCCAUCAA
RNAcentral lists this long non-coding RNA (682 nucleotides) under Elaeis guineensis (African oil palm). RNAcentral describes it as "long non-coding RNA (EGUI_LNC017682)". The record is from RNAcentral. Lineage: Eukaryota; Viridiplantae; Streptophyta; Magnoliopsida; Arecales; Arecaceae.